AAUUACCCUUAAAAUGAUCUUUUUUCACCAUAUGAAGUUCGGAUUUAGUGCCUCAGUAAUGAUAGUUAAAAGUGACAAACAACAUAAGACUAUUAUUUCUUCUUCAUUUCACCUUUAUUUCCCCUAUUAUUGAUGAUGAUGUGCACGAGCCCUCGAUAAAUUUCAAUAUUUAAGUACAUGUGAAUGAAAUUGUUGACAAGAACAUGGAAGAAAAAAAAUCACCCAUUUUAUAACUUUGAAUUUUUAGGCGUGUGUUUGAUUGAUGUUUUUUUCUCAUAUCAAUUUUGCUGGGCUGUGUUUAAUGUAAAAAUACUUUUUUCCAUUUCCAAAUCUAUCAUGUUUGAAGUUUGUUGUUUUUGUUUGGUUAUCGUAGACACAAGGGGAAAAAAACCGUGUUCUGC
RNAcentral lists this long non-coding RNA (401 nucleotides) under Trifolium pratense (red clover). Its description in RNAcentral is "long non-coding RNA (TPRA_LNC012183)". The record is from RNAcentral. Lineage: Eukaryota; Viridiplantae; Streptophyta; Magnoliopsida; Fabales; Fabaceae.